UGCAGUCGAGCGGUAGAGAGAAGCUUGCUUCUCUUGAGAGCGGCGGACGGGUGAGUAAUGCCUAGGAAUCUGCCUGGUAGUGGGGGAUAACGUUCGGAAACGGACGCUAAUACCGCAUACGUCCUACGGGAGAAAGCAGGGGACCUUCGGGCCUUGCGCUAUCAGAUGAGCCUAGGUCGGAUUAGCUAGUUGGUGGGGUAAUGGCUCACCAAGGCGACGAUCCGUAACUGGUCUGAGAGGAUGAUCAGUCACACUGGAACUGAGACACGGUCCAGACUCCUACGGGAGGCAGCAGUGGGGAAUAUUGGACAAUGGGCGAAAGCCUGAUCCAGCCAUGCCGCGUGUGUGAAGAAGGUCUUCGGAUUGUAAAGCACUUUAAGUUGGGAGGAAGGGCAGUUACCUAAUACGUGAUUGUUUUGACGUUACCGACAGAAUAAGCACCGGCUAACUCUGUGCCAGCAGCCGCGGUAAUACAGAGGGUGCAAGCGUUAAUCGGAAUUACUGGGCGUAAAGCGCGCGUAGGUGGUUUGUUAAGUUGGAUGUGAAAUCCCCGGGCUCAACCUGGGAACUGCAUUCAAAACUGACUGACUAGAGUAUGGUAGAGGGUGGUGGAAUU
This 616-nucleotide ribosomal RNA is filed under the name Pseudomonas sp. GCDN9_III. Its description in RNAcentral is "bacterial SSU rRNA". It matches the Rfam family "Bacterial small subunit ribosomal RNA", at positions 56 to 668 of the family's 1533-position model. Lineage: Bacteria; Pseudomonadati; Pseudomonadota; Gammaproteobacteria; Pseudomonadales; Pseudomonadaceae. The record is from RNAcentral.